RNAcentral lists this transfer RNA (75 nucleotides) under Robiginitomaculum sp. RNAcentral's name for it is "tRNA-Gly". It matches the Rfam family "tRNA". Rfam says of the family: Transfer RNA (tRNA) molecules are approximately 80 nucleotides in length. Their secondary structure includes four short double-helical elements and three loops (D, anti-codon, and T loops). The record is from RNAcentral. Lineage: Bacteria; Pseudomonadati; Pseudomonadota; Alphaproteobacteria; Maricaulales; Robiginitomaculaceae.
GCGGGUAUAGCUCAGAGGCAGAGCAGGCGGUUUCCAACCAUCAGGUCGAGAUUUCGAAAUUCUCUAUCCGCUCCA